AAGCGGUGGAGCAUGUGGCUUAAUUCGAGGCUACGCGAAGAACCUUAUCCUGGACUUGACAUAUGCGAAAGCGGCAGGAAGUAGCCCGCGGAAACGUGGGGCGAACGGUAACCAGUCCGGAACCUGCUACAGGUGCUGCAUGGCUGUCGUCAGCUCGUGUCGUGAGAUGUCGGGUUAAGUCCCAUAACGAGCGAAACCCCUGUCUCCAGUUGCCAGCGAGUAAAGUCGGGGACUCUGGAGAGACUGCCGGUGUUAAACCGGAGGAAGGCGGGGAUG
RNAcentral lists this ribosomal RNA (276 nucleotides) under uncultured Telmatocola sp. Its description in RNAcentral is "partial 16S ribosomal RNA". It matches the Rfam family "Bacterial small subunit ribosomal RNA", at positions 927 to 1181 of the family's 1533-position model. The record is from RNAcentral. Lineage: Bacteria; Pseudomonadati; Planctomycetota; Planctomycetia; Gemmatales; Gemmataceae.